RNAcentral lists this ribosomal RNA (460 nucleotides) under uncultured bacterium. RNAcentral describes it as "partial 16S ribosomal RNA". It matches the Rfam family "Bacterial small subunit ribosomal RNA", at positions 338 to 795 of the family's 1533-position model. The record is from RNAcentral.
CCUACGGGUGGCAGCAGUGAGGAAUAUUGGUCAAUGGACGCAAGUCUGAACCAGCCAUGCCGCGUGCAGGAAGACGGCUCUAUGAGUUGUAAACUGCUUUUGUACGAGGGUAAACGCAGAUACGCGUACCUGUCUGAAAGUAUCCUACGAAUAAGGAUCGGCUAACCCCGUUCCUGCAGCCGCGGCAAUACGGAGGAUUCAAGCGUUAUCCGGAUUUAUUGGGUUUAAAGGGGGCGUAGGCGGUCGGAUAAGUUAGAGGUGAAAUCCCGAGGCUCAACUUCGGAAUUGCCUAUGAUACUGUUAGGCUAGAGAGUAGUUGCGGUAGGCGGAAUGUAUGGUGUAGCGGUGAAAUGCUUAGAGAUCAUACAGAACACCGAUUGCGAAGGCAGCUUACCAAGCUACAUCUGACGUUGAGGCACGAAGGCGUGGGGAGCGAAAAGGAUUAGAUACCCCUGUAGUC